UCUCCAAUCUCCUCAUCAAAGCUCCACUUCUUUUCAUAGGUUUGGCUCCUAUCUGGAACGCACACCGGUCCCCAUGGCAUUGUCUGGCACAGGUACGCUGGUGGCUUCUAUUGCCUCCAAGGUGGCAUCUUCAGUGGCCGUGGUCAAAGCCGGAGGGGCGGUAUCCAGCACCAUCCUAGCUAGCUCACAGGGGCUCAACUUGUUAGCCCAGACUGCACUGGGCUCUGGAGCUUCUGCACUUGGAUCUGCAUUGGGAGCACUGAAGGCUGGCACCGUUUUAUCCAGCCUCCCUGCCUCCGCCUUGGCUGUUUGCCCCAUUGGAGUCAAGACUGCUGUCGCCAUGCUUGGGGGAGGUAAGUGAUGUCAUGGAAUGGGUGUAGGUUCCCCUCCUACUCUCCCUGUAAGCAUGGAGCCAGGAAACACUCCAUCUUGUCCCAGUAGGCUUCCCCGGAGUUAGUGGGGCAAAGGUGGAGAUGGGAUGAGGGAACUGGCUGAAAGAAGGAAGUAGAGAAAAGGAAGGAGUGUAGUGGUGUAGAGGCAGGAGAGGCCAUAUCUUCCUCCGGUGCCCACCUCCUGUGACCUGGUGCAUGGUUUGAAUUCUUUUGCGCUCCUAACAGAGAAAAUUGGGACUGUUUACCCCAUAUAGUAUUUACCAAGGGGGCUCUAGGAAGGGGAAAGGAACUUGGAAUGUACAAAGAUUGACUGUGUGUUGGGGUC
Molecule: long non-coding RNA, 717 nt
Filed under: Rattus norvegicus (Norway rat)
Lineage: Eukaryota; Metazoa; Chordata; Mammalia; Rodentia; Muridae
Description: long non-coding RNA NONRATT024588
Source: RNAcentral